Molecule: ribosomal RNA, 502 nt
Filed under: uncultured soil bacterium
Lineage: Bacteria
Description: bacterial SSU rRNA
Rfam family: Bacterial small subunit ribosomal RNA
Source: RNAcentral
AGAUUGAACGCUGGCGGCAUGCCUUACACAUGCAAGUCGAACGGCAGCACGGGAGCAAUCCUGGUGGCGAGUGGCGAACGGGUGAGUAAUACAUCGGAACGUGCCCAAUCGUGGGGGAUAACGCAGCGAAAGCUGUGCUAAUACCGCAUAAGAUCUACGGAUGAAAGCAGGGGAUCGCAAGACCUUGCGCGAAUGGAGCGGCCGAUGGCAGAUUAGGUAGUUGGUGAGGUAAAGGCUCACCAAGCCUUCGAUCUGUAGCUGGUCUGAGAGGACGACCAGCCACACUGGGACUGAGACACGGCCCAGACUCCUACGGGAGGCAGCAGUGGGGAAUUUUGGACAAUGGGCGAAAGCCUGAUCCAGCCAUGCCGCGUGCAGGAUGAAGGCCGUUCGGUUGGUAACGUGUCGUUUUGUUACGGUAACGAAAAGUACUUACUUCUUAAUAAAGAAGGAGUACAUGACGGUAACGUAAACGAAGUAAGACAACCGACUAACUUAACCG